UAGGGAAUCUUCCACAAUGGACGCAAGUCUGAUGGAGCAACGCCGCGUGAGUGAAGAAGGCUUUCGGGUCGUAAAACUCUGUUAUUGAAGAAGAACGUGUGUGACAGUAACUGGUCAUGCAGUGACGGUAUUCAAUCAGAAAGUCACGGCUAACUACGUGCCAGCAGCCGCGGUAAUACGUAGGUGGCAAGCGUUGUCCGGAUUUAUUGGGCGUAAAGCGAGUGCAGGCGGUCUUUUAAGUCUGAUGUGAAAGCCUUCGGCUUAACCGAAGAAGGGCAUCGGAAACUGGGAGACUUGAGUGCAGAAGAGGAGAGUGGAACUCCAUGUGUAGCGGUGAAAUGCGUAGAUAUAUGGAAGAACACCAGUGGCGAAGGCGGCUCUCUGGUCUGUAACUGACGCUGAGGCUCGAAAGCGUGGGUAGCAAACAGGAUUAGAUACCCUGGUAGUCCACGCCGUAACGAUGAAUACUAAGUGUUG
Molecule: ribosomal RNA, 477 nt
Filed under: uncultured bacterium
Lineage: Bacteria
Description: partial 16S ribosomal RNA
Rfam family: Bacterial small subunit ribosomal RNA
Source: RNAcentral